UUAGUCAAUGCUCGCAAGAGUGAACUAGCUAACUGAAUUCAUACUUGUGUCAAGUGUGAUAACGUAAGGGAAGAUAAUGACAUUACCUUACUAUUAGUGUUGUCCAAAACUGGUGCCAGAAGACUCGGUAAGGCCAGAGACGCGAACGUUAAUCGUCCUAAUCAGGCGUAAAGGGUGUGUAGGCAGCUUUAAAAUUUUUCUUUAUUACUUAAAUUCUUUUUAUAUUAUAUUUAAAAAUCUAAAUUUAUUUAAUGUAGACUAAUUAAGAAUAAAUUGAUAAUGAUAAAUUAUUUAAUUAUUAAAAAUUAAUUAAAGUAGAGAUAAAAUAAAUAAAAGCUAGAAUCAAAUAGAGGAUAUUUAAAUAAUACUUAGAGGAGGGGUGAUAUCCUUAGAUACUAAGUAGAAUAUUAAUGGUGAAAGCUUUUAUCUACUAAUGAUUGACGCUGAGAAACGAAGGUGAGGAUAGGAAAUAGGAUUAGAUACCCAGAUACCCCUCUCUGUCAACGAUGAAUGGUGGUUGCUAAUUAUAUAAAUUAAUUGGUGGCGAUGUUAACACGAUAACCAUUCCGCCAUGUGAGUACGACUGCAAAGUUGAAAACAAAAAAAUUAGUCGGUCUCGAAGCAAACGAAGUGAAGCAUGUUAUUUA
RNAcentral lists this ribosomal RNA (647 nucleotides) under Pseudotomentella sp. RNAcentral's name for it is "SSU rRNA". It matches the Rfam family "Bacterial small subunit ribosomal RNA", at positions 364 to 948 of the family's 1533-position model. The record is from RNAcentral. Lineage: Eukaryota; Fungi; Basidiomycota; Agaricomycetes; Thelephorales; Thelephoraceae.